AUGAGUUUGCCUUGUUCAGAUCAAAACAUUAGGCCGAGGAAAAUGAAGAAUGCAACUUUGCCUCCUGGGGUGGCAGUCCUGCGGUGUUGGUGUGGCGAUCUUUGCAAGGUGAAGGAGGUGACGGAUUUUUCUGAUUGGUUGGGCAUGAAGUUUUUCAUGUGCGCCAAUUAUGAGGAAGAUCCUGCCGUAGCUCUUUCAGAGUACGACAAGCCUCCGUCUCCUCCGCCUCUGUGCAUGUACUAUCGUUGGAUUGACACGGAGAAGCCGGCUUGGGCAGUGACUGAGAUUCGUGAAAGAAGUCGUCGUGCGUGGAAUAGUUUAUUUGCGGAAGAGCGACGCGAGAAGGCGGAAGCUGAGGAGAAAGCAGAGCAAGAGAGAGAGUUAAAAGAAUACUAUGCGGAGCAACACCGUUUUUUUCAGGAAAUGGGAAAAAAAACAGGGAAGAGGCUCGUCGCAUGGAGGAGCAGGAACGACAGCGAAAGGAGGCUCGUGAGGCUGAGAGGCAGAGAAAGAAAGAAAGGGCUCGCGAGGCCAAGGCAGCAGAAGAAGCUGGCGAUGGAAAAGGAAAAUAUCCACGCUGGACUCAGUAGAUUCUUGUGGUAG
RNAcentral lists this ribosomal RNA (603 nucleotides) under Triticum aestivum (bread wheat). Its description in RNAcentral is "partial small subunit ribosomal RNA". Lineage: Eukaryota; Viridiplantae; Streptophyta; Magnoliopsida; Poales; Poaceae. The record is from RNAcentral.